UACGAAGGGGGCUAGCGUUGCUCGGAAUUACUGGGCGUAAAGCGCACGUAGGCGGCUCUUUAAGUCGGAGGUGAAAUCCUGGAGCUCAACUCCAGAACUGCCUUCGAUACUGUAGAGCUUGAGUUCGGGAGAGGUGAGUGGAACUGCGAGUGUGGAGGUGAAAUUCGUAGAUAUUCGCAAGAACACCAGUGGCGAAGGCGGCUCACUGGCCCGAUACUGACGCUGAGGUGCGAAAGCGUGGGGAGCAAACAGG
This 253-nucleotide ribosomal RNA is filed under the name uncultured bacterium. RNAcentral describes it as "partial 16S ribosomal RNA". It matches the Rfam family "Bacterial small subunit ribosomal RNA", at positions 524 to 776 of the family's 1533-position model. The record is from RNAcentral.